RNAcentral lists this ribosomal RNA (754 nucleotides) under uncultured archaeon. RNAcentral describes it as "bacterial SSU rRNA". It matches the Rfam family "Archaeal small subunit ribosomal RNA", at positions 144 to 901 of the family's 1478-position model. The record is from RNAcentral.
GGCUAAUAUUAGAUAGAUAAAAGAUACUGGAAUGUUCUUUUAUCCAAAGCUUUUGCACCUGAGGAUGGGCCUGCGUCCGAUUAGGUUGUUGGUGGGGUAAUGGCCCACCAAGCCUAUGAUCGGUACGGGCAGUGGGAGCUGAAGCCCGGAGUUGGGGACUGAGACAAGGCCCCAGGCCCUACGGGGCGCAGCAGGCGCGAAACCUCUGCAAUGCGGGAAACCGUGACAGGGGAAUUCCAAGUGCUCAUGCAUUGCAUGGGCUGUUCUUUGGUCUAAGUAACCAGAGGAGUAAGGGCUGGGCAAGACCGGUGCCAGCCGCCGCGGUAAUACCGGCAGCUCAAGUGGUAGCCGCGAUUAUUGGGCCUAAAGCGUUCGUAGCCGGAUAAGUAAGUCUUUGGUUAAAUCCUGCGACUUAACCGUGGGAAAUCUAGAGAUACUGCUUGUCUUGAGACCGGGAGAGGUUGGAGGUACUUUUAGGGUAGGGGUGAAAUCCUGUAAUCCUAAGGGGACCACCUGUGGCGAAGGCGUCCAACUGGAACGGGUCUGACGGUGAGGGACGAAACCUAGGGGAGCGAGCCGGAUUAGAUACCCGGGUAGUCCUAGGCGUAAAUGAUGCGAGUUAAGUGUGGGGGCAUCUACGAGAUGGCCCUGUGCUGUAGGGUAGCCGUUAAACUCGCCGCCUGGGGAGUACGGUCGCAAGGCUGAAACUUAAAGGAAUUGGCGGGGGAGCACCACAAGAGGUGGAGGCUGCGGU